This 625-nucleotide ribosomal RNA is filed under the name uncultured ciliate. RNAcentral describes it as "SSU rRNA". It matches the Rfam family "Eukaryotic small subunit ribosomal RNA", at positions 335 to 972 of the family's 1831-position model. The record is from RNAcentral. Lineage: Eukaryota; Ciliophora.
AUUGGACAACCAUGGCAGUCACGGGUAACGGGGAAUUAGGGUUCGAUUCCGGAGAGGGAGCCUGAGAAAUGGCUACCACUUCUAAGGAAGGCAGCAGGCGCGUAAAUUACCCAAUCCUGAUUCAGGGAGGUAGUGACAAGAAAUAACAACUCGGGUCCCUCACGGGACUGCGAGAUUGCAAUGAGAACAAUUUAAACCACUUAUCAAGGAACAAUUGGAGGGCAAGUCUGGUGCCAGCAGCCGCGGUAUUCCAGCUCCAAUAGCGUAUAUUAAAGUUGUUGCAGUUAAAAAGCUCGUAGUUGAAUUUCUGGCUGGCGCUGUCCUCGGCUCCCUGAGUCGGUUCAGCGCUUAGUCAUCCGUAUGGGAAGCUAGCUCGGCCUUCACUGGUCGGCUAGUGGAUCAUACACUUUACUUUGAAAAAAUUAGAGUGUUUCAGGCAGGCAAUUGCUUGGAUACUGCAGCAUGGAAUAAUGGAAUAGGACUUUGACCUAUUUGUUGGUUUCUCGAGGUCAAAGUAAUGAUUAAUAGGGACAGUUGGGGGCAUUCGUAUUUAAUUGUCAGAGGUGAAAUUCUUGGAUUUAUUAAAGACGAACUUAUGCGAAAGCAUUUGCCAAGGAUGUUUUCA